UCUCUCUCUCUUUCUCUGGGGACAGUGCGGAGUAGUAACAUGUCCUGGGAUGACCCGCAUCAUGGCGCUGCCUGGAGCCAUGGAUUUACUCCUAUUCAGGGCGAACACAGUCGAUCAUUUGCAGAUUUACCAGCAGCUCCGUCAGUCUGAGUCUCUCACUCAGGUUCUCUGUUCAUUUUCACCUAAAACAGGACAUAGAACCUCUACUGAUGCAGAUGAGCCCAUGUCCUGGACGUCUGAUUGGACUGGAGUCCAAUCGUUCCACCAGUCAGAUGACUCGUGGGCCACCUUUAAGCAGGAGGAUGACAGCAGAGGGGCGGAAUCCGAGAUAGCGCCAGCCGGCCAAUGGUGGAGCUGGACAGCAGUGGAGAACUCAGACCUGGCACUGUCCUCUCUGAAUAAUGUGUCCCAAGUGUUUUUAGAGGCGUUCCCUUCUGUGGACGCCACCUGUGGAGAAACCGACUGUGUUCCAACGCUGAAGGAGCUUCUGCAGGGACCUGCCGAAAACAACCGCCCCACGAAACCUCAGAGCCAGAGCUUAUUGGACGGCCUCCAGGAUCUGGACCGGAUGAUUGAUGUGAAAUAUAAGCGGGCGGAGUCUCUGAGCCGUAAGCUCCUCCUCCAGUCGCUGCACUUGGGCGCAGUCAGCUCUGAGCGUGCCAGUGGUCGUGAGCAGGCCACCGCCAGGUUCUCCCCCAACCUGCCCUCAUCCAACCAGCAGCUAGCGGCUAAUGCUAAACGGCGACUGUCUUAUGACAUCAACAGGAACAUCAUGACCUAG
Pygocentrus nattereri (red-bellied piranha) is the source of this 781-nucleotide long non-coding RNA. NCBI's taxonomy places the organism in Eukaryota, Metazoa, Chordata, Actinopteri, Characiformes, Serrasalmidae. The record is from Ensembl.